GAUUCUAAUAGCCAGUGAAACUCAAGAACAAUGCUGUCGUACCCAAUUGAGAUGACAUACUUUUGCUGAAGUGGCAUUUUAAGGACAAGGAUGAGAGGGACAGCUGCUUCCAGUGAUAGUUCAAAAGGGAUCAAUACUAUCAUCUACAUGUACUAUCAAGCCAGAUAAAAAUUUUAAAAAAUAAUGUCAUAAUCAGUAGAAUCUAAACAUAUAUAAUCCACAAAAUAUGAGAUAUAGAAAUAAAUUUUAAGGUUGCGUGUCUAGAGGGUGAAGUUCAGAAAUGCAGACUUUAUCUAAUCUUUCUGAGCCAGAAAACAAAACAGUCAAUCCUUUGUACAUCCGCUAGAACAAAGGAACAAUGAGACUGGGAAGUGCCUGGGCUGCGAGAACCUGCACUGGAAACAAACACUUAAAACCCCAUUUAUACUGUGAUAAAGCCCUUUGCUGGCAGUUGUCCACUAUUGCUAUGCAUGCUGCAGAAACUAAAUAGUUUUCAGACUCCCUUUAAAUCUAAGCCCAAUAAAAACUCUGAUGGAUGUCAUGAAUUGCAUAUUCAGUGUAAUGACAAAAAAUAAAAAUAGAUGUCUAUGGAAAAUGAUAGGCAUAUUUAUAGAAUUUUUCAGAUGUUGGUUUGCUACUGUAGCAUAGUCAUUCCUCCAUGAUUGCCAAAUAAUCUCUUUGUACAUCUGCCCCAUCUGUCAUCUUCAUUCCCCUUGAAGCAUCAAAAACUUUGCAUGAGUCUCUAUUUCAGGAUAAAGUCUAAGUUUCUUUCUAGGCACUUGAGUUCUUCUCAAACUGGAUUUUAUCCCUGCCUCCCAACCAAACAACAGCAUCUUUACAGAAAUUGGGAUACCAAUCUAGUUACAAGCAGAGUGGUUAGGAGACUUGAUUGGAACUGCAUUUAUGUAGCAUUUUACGUAAAAUGGAGUAAACAUCCACUAUUCAUAUGAAAUAAUUGGAGGAUUACUUGUAAAAAUCAGGGUGGGAUGGGGCAAAAAACCAAACCAUCCUUUGGUGCAGGUUUUUGAAAAUGAGAAGAAAAACAAAAUGGAAAAGAAUUGUGCACAAUCUCCAGUUAAUUAAAUACAUUUCUAGAGAGGUAAUUUCUUUUUUUCUUUUUUCUUUUUUUUUUUU
RNAcentral lists this long non-coding RNA (1134 nucleotides) under Pan troglodytes (chimpanzee). RNAcentral's name for it is "long non-coding RNA NONPTRT003566". Lineage: Eukaryota; Metazoa; Chordata; Mammalia; Primates; Hominidae. The record is from RNAcentral.